Molecule: ribosomal RNA, 484 nt
Filed under: uncultured bacterium
Lineage: Bacteria
Description: partial 16S ribosomal RNA
Rfam family: Bacterial small subunit ribosomal RNA
Source: RNAcentral
AUUGAACGCUGGCGGCAGGCCUAACACAUGCAAGUCGAGCGGACGAACGGACCUAGCGCGUUGUUUCAGCGGCGGACGGGUGAGCAAUGCCUGGAAAUCUGCCUAGAAAGGUGGGAUAACGUCGGGACCAGCGGGGUAAGACCUCAUACCAUCAGACGGCCAAAGGGUGGGACCUUGGGACCUCGCGCCCUCACAGGAGCCUAAGUCGCGGUAGCUAGUUGGUGGGGUUGAGGCCUACCAAGGAGACGAUCCGUAACUGGUCUGAGAGGAUGAGCAGGCACACUGGCACUGAGACACGCUCCAGACUACUGCGGGAGGCAGCAGUGGGGAACAUUGGACAAUGGGCGCAAGCCUGCUCCAGCCAUGCGGCGUGCGUGAAGAAGGUCUUCGGCUUGUAAAGCACUUUCAGUCGGGAGGACCCGCAGUAAGUUAAUACCUCGCUGUUCUGCCGUUCCCCAGAGAAUAAGCACCGGCUAACUUCGUG